This 437-nucleotide ribosomal RNA is filed under the name uncultured bacterium. Its description in RNAcentral is "bacterial SSU rRNA". It matches the Rfam family "Bacterial small subunit ribosomal RNA", at positions 43 to 524 of the family's 1533-position model. The record is from RNAcentral.
CAGGCCUAACACAUGCAAGUCGAACGAUACCUUUCGGGGUAUAGUGGCGCACGGGUGCGUAACGCGUGGGAAUCUGCCCCUGGGUUCGGGAUAACCGUUGGAAACGACGGCUAAUACCGGAUGAUGACGUAAGUCCAAAGAUUUAUCGCCCAGGGAUGAGCCCGCGUAGGAUUAGCUAGUUGGUGGGGUAAAGGCCUACCAAGGCGACGAUCCUUAGCUGGUCUGAGAGGGUGAUCAGCCACACUGGGACUGAGACACGGCCCAGACUCCUACGGGAGGCAGCAGUGGGGAAUAUUGGACAAUGGGCGAAAGCCUGAUCCAGCAAUGCCGCGUGAGUGAUGAAGGCCUUAGGGUUGUAAAGCUCUUUUACCCGGGAUGAUAAUGACAGUACCGGGAGAAUAAGCCCCGGCUAACUCCGUGCCAGCAGCCGCGGUAAU